RNAcentral lists this transfer RNA (74 nucleotides) under Cheilopogon agoo (Japanese flyingfish). RNAcentral's name for it is "tRNA-Leu". The record is from RNAcentral. Lineage: Eukaryota; Metazoa; Chordata; Actinopteri; Beloniformes; Exocoetidae.
GUUAGGAUGGCAGUGCCCGCUGACGGCAAAAGGCCUAAGCCAGGACCACAGAGGUUCAAGUCCUCUUCUUAACU